RNAcentral lists this ribosomal RNA (802 nucleotides) under uncultured Staphylococcus sp. RNAcentral's name for it is "SSU rRNA". It matches the Rfam family "Bacterial small subunit ribosomal RNA", at positions 78 to 864 of the family's 1533-position model. The record is from RNAcentral. Lineage: Bacteria; Bacillati; Bacillota; Bacilli; Caryophanales; Staphylococcaceae.
GCUUGCUCCUCUGACGUUAGCGGCGGACGGGUGAGUAACACGUGGAUAACCUACCUAUAAGACUGGGAUAACUUCGGGAAACCGGAGCUAAUACCGGAUAAUAUAUUGAACCGCAUGGUUCAAUAGUGAAAGACGGUUUUGCUGUCACUUAUAGAUGGAUCCGCGCCGCAUUAGCUAGUUGGUAAGGUAACGGCUUACCAAGGCAACGAUGCGUAGCCGACCUGAGAGGGUGAUCGGCCACACUGGAACUGAGACACGGUCCAGACUCCUACGGGAGGCAGCAGUAGGGAAUCUUCCGCAAUGGGCGAAAGCCUGACGGAGCAACGCCGCGUGAGUGAUGAAGGUCUUCGGAUCGUAAAACUCUGUUAUUAGGGAAGAACAAAUGUGUAAGUAACUAUGCACGUCUUGACGGUACCUAAUCAGAAAGCCACGGCUAACUACGUGCCAGCAGCCGCGGUAAUACGUAGGUGGCAAGCGUUAUCCGGAAUUAUUGGGCGUAAAGCGCGCGUAGGCGGUUUUUUAAGUCUGAUGUGAAAGCCCACGGCUCAACCGUGGAGGGUCAUUGGAAACUGGAAAACUUGAGUGCAGAAGAGGAAAGUGGAAUUCCAUGUGUAGCGGUGAAAUGCGCAGAGAUAUGGAGGAACACCAGUGGCGAAGGCGACUUUCUGGUCUGUAACUGACGCUGAUGUGCGAAAGCGUGGGGAUCAAACAGGAUUAGAUACCCUGGUAGUCCACGCCGUAAACGAUGAGUGCUAAGUGUUAGGGGGUUUCCGCCCCUUAGUGCUGCAGCUAACGCAUUAAG